UUAAGAUAGGGGUUCACUGAAGGAUGAGCUAAAGCCUUCUUCAUAGGCAAGAUCAGCCAUCAGGCUUCCUAAUAAAGUAGAUUUAGUAGCAGAGUUUGGAGAGAGAGACAUCUAUCUCUCUCCAAGAUCAUAAGGAUCAAUAUGGUGAACUACUCUAUGUGUGAAAAACUGGAUAGAUCACUGUACUCAAUGGGUUAUGACACGCUAUUCAUGUGUAUCAAGUCUACUGGUGUUUGUUAGGGGUUGUUACUGAGCCUCAUACUGCUUAUCAUCUUCAACAGUGCCCUUGACAAAGGUAUAGAAUCUAUAUUCAGAAAGAGAGGAACAGCAAACUGGGAGGAACAGUCAAUAUAUUAAGGGGAAGGGAUGCCCUCAAAAGACACCUGACAAAGCUAGAGGCACUGGCUGACAUAAAAUUGUGCUUCUACAUCAUGCUUAAAUAGUAGGGAAACGUUACUCUAUGACUGUAGAUGUCUCACUCUGACAAUAUCACUUAUAUGAAUAGUAGAGUGACAUAAAGAUUAAAGUAAAACAAAAACAGCAAAACAAAAGACCAGAGAUAUCCAAAUACCACUAGCAAAUUUGAAGAUAUCUUCAAAUAUCUCCAAAUUUCAAAAACUGUUUGAGCAUAGAGUUUCUCAUGCUAAUAUGAUUUUCAGUCAUCUCUUUUGCUUAGCUAACUAAGUAAGGAAAGUAAUGUGUUAGACAUUUUAGGGAUAAUAUUUGCCAAAUAGUUACAUCCAGAAAUAUUCUAGCCUGGAAGAAGAACCGGUACACAAUAAAUAGCAUAACCAUCUGUUUAUCUAGAAAGCUGUUAGUACACAGAUGAGCUUAAAGUAUAGGCUUUCUGUUUGUUUUCUUGUGAUUUAAGAAGUACAAACAAUUUUUUUUGCCAAUAUUGUAGUGUGUAUAUGUAGACAAAUAAAGUAUACAAACUGUUUUCACAGAUAAAAAAUGUCAUUCUAAAACCAACAACUUUUGCUUGCUUCUUUUUUUGAUCACAGUUAGAAGCAAUAAAACAUGUAAAUUUCCUGACUUGCUGGGAAUUUAAUAUUUCCAGCCAUUUUUCAGAAAUUGGCAUACCCUAUAAAAAGUUAGAUUAAAUCCAGCUAUAUCUGAAGGGCUUUUUGUGCUCUUACAUUCUUAACACUACAUCUUUUAUUAGCUAUUUAAGGGGAAACCCUAAAACCUGUAUGUUAGAGAGGAUGUGGGAGGAGAUGAAAGAAACAGAAGGUAUGCAUGCAACUUAAAACCCAAACUAGAAACUAUCAUAAGCCAUUUUUGAGAACAAAAUGUGAAGAUAAACAAGCAAAGAACCUUUUACAGAUCUGGAAAACGCAAUCAAAGGUUUUAUUGCCGAACAUGACAGUUUACAGUAUGGGAUGUCAGUCUGGGUUAUCUCUUUUGUCCAUGUCCCCACUCAGCUCCUUACACUUCCAGCUCUUCACUGACAGGGCAGAAUAAGAAGCACAAAGGUCCUUGACUCUGUAAAAACAGUGAAGGAUGCCACCUGCUACCUCCUAGAAAUGUCCUGCAAAAAUUAAAAACAAAGAAGCAAACAAAGAAAACAGAAAAAUGCACGGUUUAGCCAAACUUCUUAAUGUUUUCUCAAACGGGAAAUGCAAAUUCACUUCAGUACCCCAUUUAUACUCAUCUCUGUUUAAGAACUGUCCUCAGUUACUGGAAAAGUACUUCAAGAACCAUUAUAAACAAGUUGUGUUCGGUGAUGUUAAGCCUGUGACCACAUCCUCCAGCUUCCAGUGGCUUCCUGCCCAGCUGCUGGGAGCUGAAGCCUCUGCAUAGGCUGGGCACAUGGCUGCUCCUGUCCCUUUUGCAGUAGCAAAGCUGAGCACCUGUCCUGGGGACAUACAGACAUACAGUCACAAAUGGGACAAUGACAUGAUUUUAUCUAUCCCUCAUCCCACUUUGGGGAGAGUGAGCGAUAAGCCAUGUGGUGCUGAGCUGCUUCCAGGGUAAACCACAACAGACUUCAAACUGCUUGUCAUGGUUUUAUGAUUUUCGGUUAUUGGUAUUCCACAUCAUAACAUCAUGU
Molecule: long non-coding RNA, 2053 nt
Organism: Numida meleagris (helmeted guineafowl)
Lineage: Eukaryota; Metazoa; Chordata; Aves; Galliformes; Numididae
Exons: 4
Source: RefSeq, a predicted model, not a curated record